GACGAACGCUGGCGGCGUGCUUAACACAUGCAAGUCGAACGGAAGGGCCCUGCUUUUGUGGGGUGCUCGAGUGGCGAACGGGUGAGUAACACGUGAGUAACCUGCCCUUGACUUUGGGAUAACUUCAGGAAACUGGGGCUAAUACCGGAUAGGAGCUCCUGCUGCAUGGUAGGGGUUGGAAAGUUUCGGCGGUUGGGGAUGGACUCGCGGCUUAUCAGCUUGUUGGUGGGGUAGUGGCUUACCAAGGCUUUGACGGGUAGCCGGCCUGAGAGGGUGACCGGCCACAUUGGGACUGAGAUACGGCCCAGACUCCUACGGGAGGCAGCAGUGGGGAAUAUUGCACAAUGGGCGGAAGCCUGAUGCAGCAACGCCGCGUGCGGGAUGACGGCCUUCGGGUUGUAAACCGCUUUCGCCUGUGACGAAGCGUGAGUGACGGUAAUGGGUAAAGAAGCACCGGCUAACUACGUG
Molecule: ribosomal RNA, 468 nt
Filed under: uncultured bacterium
Lineage: Bacteria
Description: partial 16S ribosomal RNA
Rfam family: Bacterial small subunit ribosomal RNA
Source: RNAcentral